AUCACUGAUAUUAUGCUUUUUAGUUUUUAUGAAAUAACCAACAAUUGGGCUUAAAUGAACAAAAGAAAGCUAUGCUUAACAAAUAAAUGCUAUCAAUGAUUAAAGACCUUUAUAAUCAAAGCCAGUAGAGUAUGGUGCAGAUGCCAGGAUAAUUUAAUAUAACAAACAGAAUUCCUCUAAAUACCCAACACCAUAAUGAUUUGCUGCCUAGUAUAAUAUGCUUUUCUCUAUAAAAGAAUGGAUGUUGCCCCCAAAUGAGAAACUUAAGAGUGAUGUUUCAUGUGAGGGAAAACCACACGUUCUUAAAUCAUUAGCUUUUCCUUCUGUUGUGUAACCUACCUUUUUCUCCCUUAUAGGGUUGACUGAGCAUUAAAGAAUAGGAAGGAAGGCAAAAAUGCAAUCAACUUCAAAAAUCACUUUGGUACAGCACGGCAACGUGCAUCCAAUUAAAACAUAAUAAUUCUGUUUCCUUUAGUGCCUUUUCAUCAAGGAUUUCAAAGUCAAAUUUAUAAUUCCUCAAUUGUGCUUUGGACAUCUCAAAUUCUGAUUGCUGGCGAGUCUUUCCUCCUUCCCCCUUCCUAAUCUGCACUGAAAGUUCUAACUGAAUUUAUGGACGAUCAUUCUGCUUUCAAAUCUGUAAGACUUGGGUUCUCCUUCAUCUUCUUCUGCCUUUGUUCAGCUAGCUGAGUGACUAAAUAUGGCUAAUUGUGGUUUUAUUUCUUGUUGUUUGAGAGACAGAGAGUGCAGGAGAUGUGGAGAGAGAGAGAGAGAGAGAGAGAGAGAGAGAGAGAAUCCCAAGCAGGCUCUGCAUUGUCAGCAUGGAGCUGGAUGCGGGACUGGAACUCACAAACUGUGAGAUCAUGACCUCAGCGGAAAUCAAGAGUAAGACACUUAACCAACUGAGUCACCCAGGACAAGAAACCAGUCAAAAUCCUGGAAGAACUGCUCUCAGAUGGGGUUAACUUACUAUGAAGCAUGAUACAAGCAUCACAAGAGGAAAGCAGCUAUCAUGUAAAUCAACAGAAGUUUUACUUUGUGAAAACUUGUUCCCACCUUUAGAAAAUACAACACUAACAGCAAUGUUAAUGUUUGGGAUUCCAGAACAACACAUUCAUAUCAAUCUGUUUUCGUAGCUGUUGAAUUAACAAAUAUUCUACAAACCAGAGUAAGUAGCUUAUUUCAUUAUGUCUUCUAUAUGAGGUCAUACCCAAACAUUUUCAAACUGAAAUGUAUAUUGU
Long non-coding RNA from Acinonyx jubatus (cheetah), 1238 nucleotides. RefSeq lists it as uncharacterized. NCBI's taxonomy places the organism in Eukaryota, Metazoa, Chordata, Mammalia, Carnivora, Felidae. The transcript is spliced from 3 exons. The record is from RefSeq and is a predicted model, not a curated record.